AGAGUUUGAUCCUGGCUCAGAAUCAACGCUGGCGGCGCGCCUAACACAUGCAAGUCGAACGAGAAAGCAGGAGCAAUCUUGUGAGUAAAGUGGCGUACGGGUGAGUAACACGUGGAUUAUCUACCCUCUUGUGGGGGAUAACCCUGGGAAACCGGGGCUAAUACCGCAUAAGCUCGAGAGAGGAAAGCAGCAAUGCGCAGGAGGAGGAGUCCGCGGCCGAUUAGCUAGUUGGUAGGGUAAAAGCCUACCAAGGCUACGAUCGGUAGCCGGCCUGAGAGGGCACACGGCCACACUGGCACUGAAACACGGGCCAGACUCCUACGGGAGGCAGCAGUGGGGAAUCUUGCACAAUGGGGGCAACCCUGAUGCAGCGACGCCGCGUGAGCGAUGAAGCCCUUCGGGGUGUAAAGCUCUUUCGGCAGGGAAGAUUAUGACGGUACCUGCAGAAGCAGCUGCGGCUAACUACGUGCCAGCAGCCGCGGUAAUACGUAGGCAGCAAGCGUUGUUCGGAGUUACUGGGCGUAAAGGGUGUGUAGGCGGUUCUCUAAGUCUGGUGUGAAAUCUCCCGGCUCAACUGGGAGGGUGCGCCGAAAACUGGAGGACUAGAGUGCGGGAUGGGAGAGUGGAAUUCCUGGUGUAGCGGUGAAAUGCGUAGAUAUCAGGAGGAACACCUGUGGUGUAGACGGCUCUCUGGACCGCAACUGACGCUGAGACNNGAAAGCGUGGGUAGCAANNNGGAUUAGAUACCCNNGUAGUCC
This 758-nucleotide ribosomal RNA is filed under the name uncultured bacterium. RNAcentral describes it as "bacterial SSU rRNA". It matches the Rfam family "Bacterial small subunit ribosomal RNA", at positions 8 to 796 of the family's 1533-position model. The record is from RNAcentral.